Molecule: ribosomal RNA, 660 nt
Filed under: uncultured bacterium
Lineage: Bacteria
Description: bacterial SSU rRNA
Rfam family: Bacterial small subunit ribosomal RNA
Source: RNAcentral
AGUGGCGGACGGGUGAGUAACGCGUGAGAAUCUGCCUUGGGGUCGGGGACAACCACUGGAAACGGUGGCUAAUACCGGAUAAGCCGAUUGGUGAAAGAUUUAUUGCCCGAAGAGGAGCUCGCGUCUGAUUAGCUAGUUGGUGAGGUAAGAGCUCACCAAGGCAGCGAUCAGUAGCUGGUCUGAGAGGACGAUCAGCCACACUGGGACUGAGACACGGCCCAGACUCCUACGGGAGGCAGCAGUGGGGAAUUUUCCGCAAUGGGCGAAAGCCUGACGGAGCAAGACCGCGUGAGGGAGGAAGGCUCUUGGGUUGUAAUCCUCUUUUCUCAGGGAAGAAGCUCUGACGGUACCUGAGGAAUCAGCCUCGGCUAACUCCGUGCCAGCAGCCGCGGUAAUACGGAGGAGGCAAGCGUUAUCCGUAAUUAUUGGGCGUAAAGCGUCCGCAGGUGGCGAUUCAAGUCUGCUGUCAAAGCACGGGGCUUAACUCCGUAAAGGCAGUGGAAACUGAAUAGCUAGAGUGCCGUAGGGGUAGAGGGAAUUCCCGGUGUAGCGGUGAAAUGCGUAGAGAUCGGGAAGAACAUCGGUGGCGAAAGCGCUCUACUGGACGGCAACUGACACUCAGGGACGAAAGCUAGGGGAGCGAAUGGGAUUAGAUACCCC